Molecule: non-coding RNA, 111 nt
Filed under: Bacillus methanolicus
Lineage: Bacteria; Bacillati; Bacillota; Bacilli; Caryophanales; Bacillaceae
Also listed under: 1 other name
Description: SAM-I sequence
Rfam family: SAM riboswitch aptamer (S box leader)
About the family: The SAM riboswitch is found upstream of a number of genes which code for proteins involved in methionine or cysteine biosynthesis in Gram-positive bacteria. The SAM riboswitch acts at the level of transcription termination control.
Source: RNAcentral
CUCUUAUCCAGAGUGACGGAGGGAUCAGGCCCGAUGAAGUCCGGCAACCUUCAAGCAAUGCUUGAAAAGGUGCCAAUUCCUGCAGACAAUUCAUUGUCUGAAAGAUAAGAG